CAGCUGUGACCGAUCAGCCGGUGACGAGGACGUGCAGUGUCUGGCAAAGUGUCUGCCCAUAAAUUGGUGAAAGUGGCUGCAGCUCUUUGUGUACUUUGUCUGCUGGGAGGUGUUGUCAUUGGUGUUUGGUUUAUAGUAUAAAUCCUGUUAAGGCCAAACUCAGCACAGAGCCCUGUGGGCGUAGGAGACACUAAAGAUACGUCUUUCUGCAAUGUAACGGAGGACAUCUCUUUGGCAGACCCCAGAAAGGGUAUUUGUCUCUUUAUUCGCACAUACUGUGAAAACAACAGAGCCAGCAGGUAAACAGCGCAGUGGACAUUCAUCCAAACUCACUGGCACUGUAAACAAAGUGACAUAAACAACAGAGGCAAACUAAAGAAGGAGAAAGUAGA
This is a long non-coding RNA of Carassius auratus (goldfish), 392 nucleotides long. RefSeq lists it as uncharacterized. The transcript has 3 exons. Lineage: Eukaryota; Metazoa; Chordata; Actinopteri; Cypriniformes; Cyprinidae. The record is from RefSeq and is a predicted model, not a curated record.